AAUCCAUAGGUUAAUGAGGCGAACCGGGGGAACUGAAACAUCUAAGUACCCCGAGGAAAAGAAAUCAACCGAGAUUCCCCCAGUAGCGGCGAGCGAACGGGGAGGAGCCCAGAGCCUGAAUCAGCAUGUGUGUUAGUGGAAGCGUCUGGAAAGGCGCGCGAUACAGGGUGACAGCCCCGUACACAAAAGCGCAUGUGCUGUGAGCUCGAUGAGUAGGGCGGGACACGUGGUAUCCUGUCUGAAUAUGGGGGGACCAUCCUCCAAGGCUAAAUACUCCUGACUGACCGAUAGUGAACCAGUACCGUGAGGGAAAGGCGAAAAGAACCCCGGCGAGGGGAGUGAAAAAGAACCUGAAACCGUGUACGUACAAGCAGUGGGAGCACAGGUUUACCUGUGUGACUGCGUACCUUUUGUAUAAUGGGUCAGCGACUUAUAUUCUGUAGCAAGGUUAACCGAAUAGGGGAGCCGGAGGGAAACCGAGUCUUAAUUGGGCGUUAAGUUGCAG
Molecule: ribosomal RNA, 505 nt
Filed under: Salmonella enterica subsp. enterica serovar Newport
Lineage: Bacteria; Pseudomonadati; Pseudomonadota; Gammaproteobacteria; Enterobacterales; Enterobacteriaceae
Also listed under: 1 other name
Description: partial 23S ribosomal RNA
Rfam family: Bacterial large subunit ribosomal RNA
Source: RNAcentral